This 97-nucleotide non-coding RNA is filed under the name Alicyclobacillus sp. RNAcentral describes it as "c-di-GMP sequence". It matches the Rfam family "c-di-GMP-I riboswitch aptamer". Rfam says of the family: GEMM was predicted in a large-scale screen for bacterial structured RNA regulatory elements. Genes associated with GEMM are involved in a diverse array of functions, including chemotaxis regulation, signal transduction, secretion and chitin. RNAcentral also lists the same sequence under 1 other name. Lineage: Bacteria; Bacillati; Bacillota; Bacilli; Caryophanales; Alicyclobacillaceae. The record is from RNAcentral.
GUUCCUUGAGGGCAAACCUGUUGAAAGACAGGGACGCAAAACUGCGGGUCCUGGAUGGAAAAAUAUAAAAUUAAGCCAGGAUGGCUGAGUUGCAAGG